GGGGAGCGGCAGACGGGAGAGUAACACGUGGGAACGUACCUUUCAGUUCGGAACAACCAAGGGAAACUUUGGCUAAUACCGAAUACGCCCGUAAGGGGAAAGAUUUAUCGCUGAAAGAUCGGCCCGCGUCUGAUUAGCUUGUUGGUGAGGUAAUGGCUCACCAAGGCGACGAUCAGUAGCUGGUCUGAGAGGAUGAUCAGCCUCACUGGGACUGAGACACGGCCCAGACUCCUACGGGAGGCAGCAGUGGGGAAUAUUGGACAAUGGGGGAAACCCUGAUCCAGCCAUGCCGCGUGAGUGAUGAAGGCCUUAGGGUUGUAAAGCUCUUUCGUUGGGGAAGAUAAUGACGGUACCCAAAGAAGAAGCCCCGGCUAACUUCGUGCCAGCAGCCGCGGUAAUACGAAGGGGGCUUGCGUUGCUCGGAAUCACUGGGCGUAAAGCGCACGUAGGCGGCUUUCUAAGUCAGGGGUGAAAUCCUGGAGCUCAACUCCAGAACUGCCUUUGAUACUGGAAAGCUUGAGUUCGAGAGAGGUGAGUGGAACUGCGAGUGUAGAGGUGAAAUUCGUAGAUAUUCGCAAGAACACCAGUGGCGAAGGCGGCUCACUGGCUCGAUACUGACGCUGAGGUGCGAAAGCGUGGGGAGCAAACAG
Molecule: ribosomal RNA, 650 nt
Filed under: uncultured bacterium
Lineage: Bacteria
Description: bacterial SSU rRNA
Rfam family: Bacterial small subunit ribosomal RNA
Source: RNAcentral